GUUUCCAUAGUGAAGUGGUUAUCACGUUAAGCCACACGCCUUGGAAAGGUCCCUAGUUCAAAACUGGGUGGAAACA
Molecule: transfer RNA, 76 nt
Filed under: Alosa alosa (allis shad)
Lineage: Eukaryota; Metazoa; Chordata; Actinopteri; Clupeiformes; Clupeidae
Description: tRNA-Ala
Source: RNAcentral